GAGUAAUGUCUGGGAAACUGCCUGAUGGAGGGGGAUAACUACUGGAAACGGUGGCUAAUACCGCAUAACGUCGCAAGACCAAAGAGGGGGACCUUCGGGCCUCUUGCCAUCAGAUGUGCCCAGAUGGGAUUAGCUUGUUGGUGAGGUAACGGCUCACCAAGGCGACGAUCCCUAGCUGGUCUGAGAGGAUGACCAGCCACACUGGAACUGAGACACGGUCCAGACUCCUACGGGAGGCAGCAGUGGGGAAUAUUGCACAAUGGGCGCAAGCCUGAUGCAGCCAUGCCGCGUGUAUGAAGAAGGCCUUCGGGUUGUAAAGUACUUUCAGCGGGGAGGAAGGUGUUGUGGUUAAUAACCGCAGCAAUUGACGUUACCCGCAGAAGAAGCACCGGCUAACUCCGUGCCAGCAGCCGCGGUAAUACGGAGGGUGCAAGCGUUAAUCGGAAUUACUGGGCGUAAAGCGCACGCAGGCGGUCUGUCAAGUCGGAUGUGAAAUCCCCGGGCUCAACCUGGGAACUGCAUUCGAAACUGGCAGGCUUGAGUCUUGUAGAGGGGGGUAGAAUUCCAGGUGUAGCGGUGAAAUGCGUAGAGAUCUGGAGGAAUACCGGUGGCGAAGGCGGCCCCCUGGACAAAGACUGACGCUCAGGUGCGAAAGCGUGGGGAGCAAACAGGAUUAGAUACCCUGGUAGUCCACGCCGUAAACGAUGUCUACUUGGAGGUUGUGCCCUUGAGGCGUGGCUUCCGGAGCUAACGCGUUAAGUAGACCGCCUGGGGAGUACGGCCGCAAGGUUAAAACUCAAAUGAAUUGACGGGGGCCCGCACAAGCGGUGGAGCAUGUGGUUUAAUUCGAUGCAACGCGAAGAACCUUACCUGGUCUUGACAUCCACGGAAGUUUUCAGAGAUGAGAAUGUGCCUUCGGGAACCGUGAGACAGGUGCUGCAUGGCUGUCGUCAGCUCGUGUUGUGAAAUGUUGGGUUAAGUCCCGCAACGAGCGCAACCCUUAUCCUUUGUUGCCAGCGGUUAGGCCGGGAACUCAAAGGAGACUGCCAGUGAUAAACUGGAGGAAGGUGGGGAUGACGUCAAGUCAUCAUGGCCCUUACGACCAGGGCUACACACGUGCUACAAUGGCGCAUACAAAGAGAAGCGACCUCGCGAGAGCAAGCGGACCUCAUAAAGUGCGUCGUAGUCCGGAUUGGAGUCUGCAACUCGACUCCAUGAAGUCGGAAUCGCUAGUAAUCGUGGAUCAGAAUGCCACGGUGAAUACGUUCCCGGGCCUUGUACACACCGCCCGUCACACCAUGGGAGUGGGUUGCAAAAGAAGUAGGUAGCUUAACCUUCGGGAGGGCGCUUACCACUUUGUGAUUCAUGACUGGGGUGAAGUCGUAACAAGGUAACCGUAGGGGAACCUGCGGUUGGA
RNAcentral lists this ribosomal RNA (1417 nucleotides) under Salmonella enterica subsp. enterica. RNAcentral describes it as "bacterial SSU rRNA". It matches the Rfam family "Bacterial small subunit ribosomal RNA". Lineage: Bacteria; Pseudomonadati; Pseudomonadota; Gammaproteobacteria; Enterobacterales; Enterobacteriaceae. RNAcentral also lists the same sequence under 3 other names. The record is from RNAcentral.